GUCAGGAUGGCCGAGCGGUCUAAGGCGCCAGACUCAAGGUUUACUCCUUCUCUGUUCAAAAACUGAGUUUUUCGGGCUUUCUGGUCCUCUCUGAGGGCGUGGGUUCGAAUCCCACUUCUGACA
Acromyrmex echinatior (Panamanian leafcutter ant) is the source of this 123-nucleotide transfer RNA. It matches the Rfam family "tRNA". From Rfam's summary of the family: Transfer RNA (tRNA) molecules are approximately 80 nucleotides in length. Their secondary structure includes four short double-helical elements and three loops (D, anti-codon, and T loops). The record is from Rfam. Lineage: Eukaryota; Metazoa; Arthropoda; Insecta; Hymenoptera; Formicidae.